UCCGACUUGACGUCGGCAGUCUCGUUAGAGUUCCCAUCCGAAAUGUUGGCAACUAACGAUAAGGGUUGCGCUCGUUGCGGGACUUAACCCAACACCUCACGGCACGAGCUGACGACAGCCAUGCAGCACCUGUGCAAAGGUCCCGAAGGACGGCACCAUCUCUGGUGCUUGCCUUUGCAUGUCAAGCCUGGGUAAGGUUCUUCGCGUUGCAUCGAAUUAAACCACAUGCUCCACUGCUUGUGCGGGUCCCCGUCAAUUCUUUUGAGUUUCAGCCUUGCGGCCGUACUCCCCAGGCGGGGCACUUAAUGCGUUAGCGCCGGCACCCAGGGGGUCGCUCCCCCAGGCACCUAGUGCCCAUCGUUUACGGCGUGGACUAC
Molecule: unclassified non-coding RNA, 377 nt
Filed under: uncultured bacterium
Lineage: Bacteria
Description: contains 16S-23S intergenic spacer region
Source: RNAcentral